CUGGGGGCAAUAGGGAGUAGCACAAGGCAUUUAUCUAUAACACCUGCUUUGACCAUAUCCAAUUUGCGAGGAGCCCGGUCUUUCCCCAACUUUAUUAAAGCACAGAUGCUACCUUCAAUAAGUCGAAAAUUAGUCCCAGAAACCAAGCCAACAAGAAGAUCCACAAGAAUAUCAUAAGCUGCAGCAAGCUCCACCUGCUGUUCAUCAUCCAACAAUCUCUCAAAAGCACAAACCCCAGCUUCCACAACCAAACUUAUAUUAGACUGCAUAAGAGACAGAAGAGGCUACAUGCACUCUGAGGCAAUUGGAUCUGCUCUGAAUUUGGCAUUGCUAAACAGAAUAAAGCAAAGCUGUGCAACACAUCUCUUCAAUUCCAAGGAACACGAAGAAGAUAAUAUCUUGCAUAAAGUCUCA
RNAcentral lists this unclassified non-coding RNA (414 nucleotides) under Hevea brasiliensis (rubber tree). The record is from RNAcentral. Lineage: Eukaryota; Viridiplantae; Streptophyta; Magnoliopsida; Malpighiales; Euphorbiaceae.